UAGAGAGGACGGAACUGGUGUUCCAACCGGUCUUCAAAACCGGUAACAGACGGAUAAAACCGGCUGUGGCAGGUUCGAUUCCUGCCCUCUC
RNAcentral lists this transfer RNA (91 nucleotides) under Bacteroidales bacterium. RNAcentral describes it as "tRNA-Sec". It matches the Rfam family "Selenocysteine transfer RNA". Lineage: Bacteria; Pseudomonadati; Bacteroidota; Bacteroidia; Bacteroidales. The record is from RNAcentral.